This 92-nucleotide non-coding RNA is filed under the name Rattus norvegicus (Norway rat). The stretch from base 7 to 75 matches the Rfam family "tRNA". Rfam says of the family: Transfer RNA (tRNA) molecules are approximately 80 nucleotides in length. Their secondary structure includes four short double-helical elements and three loops (D, anti-codon, and T loops). Lineage: Eukaryota; Metazoa; Chordata; Mammalia; Rodentia; Muridae. The record is from RNAcentral.
GGGGUUGGGGAUUUAGCUCAGUGGUAGAGCGCUUGCCUAGCAAGCACAAGGCCCUGGGUUUGGUCCCCAGCUCCGAAAGAAAAAAAAGAGUU